RNAcentral lists this ribosomal RNA (363 nucleotides) under uncultured bacterium. RNAcentral's name for it is "bacterial SSU rRNA". It matches the Rfam family "Bacterial small subunit ribosomal RNA", at positions 29 to 417 of the family's 1533-position model. The record is from RNAcentral.
AACGAACGCUGGCGGCAGGCUUAACACAUGCAAGUCGAACGGUUGUAGCAAUACAGCAGUGGCAGACGGGUGAGUAACACGUGGGAACCUUCCUAGGGGUACGGAACAACUCAGGGAAACUUGAGCUAAUACCGUAUACGUCCGUGAGGAGAAAGUUUUAACGCCCCUAGACGGGCCCGCGUAGGAUUAGGUAGUUGGUGAGGUAACGGCUCACCAAGCCUACGAUCCUUAGCUGAUCUGAGAGGANGAUCAGCCACACUGGGACUGAGACACGGCCCAGACUCCUACGGGAGGCAGCAGUGGGGAAUCUUGGACAAUGGGCGCAAGCCUGACGCAGCGACGCCGCGUGAGGGAUGACGGCCU